Long non-coding RNA from Triticum dicoccoides, 2616 nucleotides. RefSeq lists it as uncharacterized. The record is from RefSeq and is a predicted model, not a curated record. Lineage: Eukaryota; Viridiplantae; Streptophyta; Magnoliopsida; Poales; Poaceae. The transcript is spliced from 3 exons.
UCCUGACCUGCCUGCUCUUGAGCCUCUCCGCCUUCCACACAGACGACAAUGGGGACGGGACACGGCGGCGCGUCAGCUUCCCAUGCUCGCCGCAGCCUUCCGGCCCUGGGACGCCAUCGGUCAUGUCGCUGCCUUCCCCGCCCGACCCGGACCGCGGGCCCCGCCACGACCCCAAGCCCUCGGAAGACAACGGGGGUCCCCAAGCCAAUUAAGGUCGAUGACCUCCCGCGCUCGCGCGCCAUGGUUUCGACGGGGAUGUGGAGGACGGCCGCUGGACGAGGCGGUCUAGGGCUUCUGACGACGAGAGGAGGACGACCGCCGGCGGAGGCGUCCUAGGGCCUCAGACGACGGGUGGGAUGACCAUCGCGACAAGCGCGACCGUGACCGGCGGCGCCGCCGUCCUAGCACCAGCUCGGAGUCGCGAAAGGUGCACCGGCCGGCAUGAACACCUCCUCCGGUCAGCGUGUUGGCUUCACGCGAUAAGGCGGGCGCCUCCACUCUCAUGCCGCCGUGAUUACUCUUCUGCAGGUCAGCCAGUGCAAAGGUAGGUUUGGAGCUUAAUUCCUCAUAUCUUUCCACACUGGAUUCGAUCUCUGCAGGUUUGUUGUACUUUUAAAUCUUUCAUGGAUCUAAAGUUUCUGAAUAUGUAUUUCAGGCGUGAACGAUUUCAGUAUUCAUCUUUGAUCUAUGUGUUGUGCUUGUGUACUGGACGUGUUAUUCGUCUUUUCUGGUGCUUUUCUACCGUUUAAUUUGCUUCGUCGGUGGACAAACGAGGUUACUGGAAGAAGGGUUGCCUGGGACUGGGAGGUUGCCACCUCUAGCAACGUAGAGGAGGGGUGUUGCCGUCCACCACAUCAUCUGGCUUGUCCCCAAAAUUGUUGAACUUCUGCUCCUGAGGAGACAAAAGGGAUGCAGCAACGGGGUGAGGUGAUCAGAGUGAUGUAUUGAAGCCUCCCGUUCCACAUGUUUAGUAGUUGCACCUCAACGUCACUUUUGAGUAGAUACUACUCGACCUUGGGAACACGUUGUGAUGCUUACGGAGGAGAUUAAGAAGGGCACCGGUUCCGUCCCUGACGUCGAGGUUACCAUCUGGUAAUUGGUAAUUUUGAUUAGUAGAUGUAUUUCACUGCGUCAUCUAUUUUGGAGUUACCUUUUAAAAUUUUAGAUCGUAGAUCCAAAGAAUGCAUCUUGCCUCAUUGUUCUAUGACAAAUCGGUUAUGCAGUUAGUUUUUCUUCACAGGUUAAUACAGGAUUUGCAUCUCAUGACUAUAUGGUUUGUAAAUCGAUUAUCUUGUCAGCAUUUCUUCACAAUUAUGAUGUUGCAUCCCCGUGCUUCUCUUAGCUUGCUGCUCAUUGCAGGUUGCAUAUCAGCUCUUUGUGAUAAGAAAUUAUGCUUGCAAUAACCGAUCAGAUGGAACGGUUACUAAAGUUUGCAACAUUUGAUCUUUAUUGUCGAAGAUAUAAGGAGCCAAGUAAGUGCCUUCUACUGUGUCUUUUGGAUUACUUGAUUGAUAGUGCAACCAACUUCGAGUUUGCAACUCUUUUAGGCUGAUGAGAUUUUUUUAAUCUUAUAUAUGUACUUUCAGGGUAGAGGAUUGCAACUAUAUUCAUGUAUAAUUUAUCUCCCAUUCUAUUUACAAUGCAUGAAAUUCCACCCUUGGGUUCCUCUAUGGCAAGAAAUUAGAAUUUUUAUGAUAUCUUUGGCUCUUUCUAAAUGAAACAUGUCAUGUAACUAUGGUCCCUGAGGUAGUACAAUAUAAAUUAUUUCCCUAUAUUUCUAUGAUUUAUUAUUGGAACAAAUAUUGUCAUCACAUUAGCCUAUGUGGUUAUGUUAUUGUAGAUUGUUACGUUCUCUGAGCAUGCCUACUAGCAUGUCACUUCAAUAAUUUCAGGAAAGCAUAGAAGCCAUUGUAUCUUCUUACAUCAAAUAUAUGGUGAAUGCUCACAACACAAAUGUAUUGUAGCAAUCCACAUGAUUUUUCACAUUUACUAAAUAUUUCAAUGAUUAGUCACGGAUAUGUUGCACUGUUUGCAUUAAAAGUGCACUAAGCAUAUGAGUGUCAGUGUGAUUUCAUUAAUAUAUCACUGAUUAAACAAUGUUCUUUCUUCCAUUUCCAUUGUUUAUUUUCAUUUUGUGUGCUCAACUAUAUAAAUUAUCUAUAUCCUAAAAUGUGUUGCAGUAAUGCAUAGGAACUAUUACAUCAUGCUACUUAUCACUUACAUUCUUGUGUUGUGCAGAAAGCUUUGAUUAUUUAACCUUGCUCGUGAAAAGGGGGAAAUUUGAUUAUUUAACCAUGUUGUGCCAUGAGAUUUCUUCCCCUUUUUAGUGGUGCCAAAUGAAGAUCCUUUUAGAUUGCAAUACUUCUAUGCAUGCCUUCAGCAUGCCUGGAUGUGUCUACAUCUGCAUUCCUUAAGUGUAUGAUGGCAUCAAGACUGGUAUAAUCUAGAAAGGAUAUUUUAGUUUUUGUACACUUACAAAUUGUGCUUUCUGAUGAACUUCAUGUAAGAUGUAGCUUCUUCCCAGGCGCCAAGGCUUCUCUUUUUUUUGGUUUGGUUCUUCUGCUCUAUGUGGUUAAUCUAUCUGCUUCCAAAAAUCAUCCUGAAGUUCAAAAAACA